This 22-nucleotide microRNA is filed under the name Ornithorhynchus anatinus (platypus). RNAcentral describes it as "Oan-Novel-10_3p (mature (guide))". The record is from RNAcentral. Lineage: Eukaryota; Metazoa; Chordata; Mammalia; Monotremata; Ornithorhynchidae.
UGGUAUUUGUUGAGCGUUUACG